This 510-nucleotide ribosomal RNA is filed under the name uncultured bacterium. Its description in RNAcentral is "partial 16S ribosomal RNA". It matches the Rfam family "Bacterial small subunit ribosomal RNA", at positions 28 to 507 of the family's 1533-position model. The record is from RNAcentral.
GACGAACGCUGGCGGCGUGCUUAACACAUGCAAGUCGAACGAAGAGCGAUGGAAGCUUGCUUCUAUCAAUCUUAGUGGCGAACGGGUGAGUAACGCGUAAUCAACCUGCCCUUCAGAGGGGGACAACAGUUGGAAACGACUGCUAAUACCGCAUACGAUCUAAUCUCGGCAUCGAGGAUAGAUGAAAGGUGGCCUCUACAUGUAAGCUAUCACUGAAGGAGGGGAUUGCGUCUGAUUAGCUAGUUGGAGGGGUAACGGCCCACCAAGGCGAUGAUCAGUAGCCGGUCUGAGAAGAUGAACGGCCACAUUGGGAAUGAGACACGGCCCAGACUCCUACGGGAGGCAGCAGUGGGGAAUCUUCCGCAAUGGACGAAAGUCUGACGGAGCAACGCCGCGUGAGGGAUGACGGCCCUCGGGUUGUAAAGCUCUGUUAAUCGGGACGAAAGGCCUUCUUGCGAAUAGUGAGAAGGAUUGACGGUACCGGAAGAGAAAGCCACGGCUAACUACGUG